GGGCCCGCACAAGCGGUGGAGCAUGUGGUUUAAUUCGAUGCAACGCGAAGAACCUUACCAGGGCUUGACAUACUGCGAAUCUCCUUGAAACAGGAGAGUGCCUUCGGGAACGCAGUGACAGGUGGUGCAUGGCUGUCGUCAGCUCGUGUCGUGAGAUGUUGGGUUAAGUCCCGCAACGAGCGCAACCCACGUCUUUAGUUGCCAGCAUUUAGUUGGGCACUCUAGAGAGACUGCCGGUGAUAAACCGGAGGAAGGUGUGGAUGACGUCAAGUCAUCAUGCCCCUUACAUCCUGGGCUACACACGUACUACAAUGCUACGGACAAAGGGCUGCAAGUUCGCGAGGACAAGCAAAUCCCAUAACCGUGGCUCAGUUCAGAUCGUAGGCUGCAACUCGCCUACGUGAAGGCGGAAUCGCUAGUAAUCG
This 425-nucleotide ribosomal RNA is filed under the name uncultured bacterium. RNAcentral's name for it is "bacterial SSU rRNA". It matches the Rfam family "Bacterial small subunit ribosomal RNA", at positions 917 to 1344 of the family's 1533-position model. The record is from RNAcentral.